AUUGAACGCUGGCGGCAUGCUUUACACAUGCAAGUCGAACGGUAACAGGCCGCAAGGUGCUGACGAGUGGCGAACGGGUGAGUAAUGCAUCGGAACGUGCCCAGUCGUGGGGGAUAACUACUCGAAAGAGUAGCUAAUACCGCAUACGAUCUAUAGAUGAAAGCGGGGGACCGUAAGGCCUCGCGCGAUUGGAGCGGCCGAUGUCAGAUUAGGUAGUUGGUGGGGUAAAGGCUCACCAAGCCAACGAUCUGUAGCUGGUCUGAGAGGACGACCAGCCACACUGGGACUGAGACACGGCCCAGACUCCUACGGGAGGCAGCAGUGGGGAAUUUUGGACAAUGGGCGCAAGCCUGAUCCAGCAAUGCCGCGUGCAGGAAGAAGGCCUUCGGGUUGUAAACUGCUUUUGUACGGAACGAAACGGCUCUGGUUAAUACCCGGGGCUAAUGACGGUACCGUAAGAAUAAGCACCGGCCAACUACGUG
Molecule: ribosomal RNA, 482 nt
Filed under: uncultured bacterium
Lineage: Bacteria
Description: partial 16S ribosomal RNA
Rfam family: Bacterial small subunit ribosomal RNA
Source: RNAcentral